This 465-nucleotide ribosomal RNA is filed under the name uncultured bacterium. Its description in RNAcentral is "partial 16S ribosomal RNA". It matches the Rfam family "Bacterial small subunit ribosomal RNA", at positions 338 to 795 of the family's 1533-position model. The record is from RNAcentral.
CCUACGGGUGGCAGCAGUAGGGAAUCUUCCACAAUGGGCGCAAGCCUGAUGGAGCAACACCGCGUGAGUGAAGAAGGGUUUCGGCUCGUAAAACUCUGUUGUUGGGGAAGAACGUGCGUGAGAGUAACUGUUCACGCAGUGACGGUAGCCAAUCAGAAAGUCACGGCUAACUACGUGCCAGCAGCCGCGGUAAUACGUAGGUGGCAAGCGUUAUCCGGAUUUAUUGGGCGUAAAGCGCGCGCAGGCGGUUGCUUAGGUCUGAUGUGAAAGCCUUCGGCUUAACCGAAGAAGUGCAUCGGAAACCGGGCGACUUGAGUGCAGAAGAGGACAGUGGAACUCCAUGUGUAGCGGUGGAAUGCGUAGAUAUAUGGAAGAACACCAGUGGCGAAGGCAGCUUUCUGGACUGCAACUGACACUGAGGCUCGAAAGUGUGGGUAUCAAACAGGAUUAGAUACCCGAGUAGUC